This 3142-nucleotide long non-coding RNA is filed under the name Sus scrofa (pig). Its description in RNAcentral is "lncRNA (ENSSSCG00015036756.1)". The record is from RNAcentral. Lineage: Eukaryota; Metazoa; Chordata; Mammalia; Artiodactyla; Suidae.
GGGUGGGAUCCUGGUUCCUCCUCAGGGAAGAUACGUAACAAUAUCUUUGAGCCUUUCUGCAGAACGAAAGCCCCCAACACAUGGAAGAACUGCUUGAUGAAGAAGGACGACCACCAGAACUAGUCCUGGGACUGCUAAACAGCAGCCCUGAGAAUCAUUGCAAGCUUGGCUCUACCCUGCUCCUUACCUACGGCCCAAUUUUCCAUUCCCCAAACUAUAAAACCACCUCCUAAUCUCUCCCAAAGGGGGCAUGGUCUUUAAGGCAUUAGGCUGCUGUGGCCCCCUUUGCCUGGCAAAGCAAUAAAGCUCUCUUUUUCUCCUUCACCCCCCACCCCCAAGUGCUGCUAAACCUCUUAGUCUGUGGCGCAGGCUCAUCGGAUGAUCUGCAGGGACUUGGUUCCUCUCGUUCAAGAUGGAGGUGCCGGGAUGUGUCAUCCAUCAUCUUCUGCCUUCUGUGUGGCCUCCCAGCUUCCAGGGCCCCGUGAGUUGUCCCAACCCUCCUUCCAGAUCGGUUUGGCCCUGAUGCCGCUGCCGCAAGAGUGCAGUGACCAGGCUUUCCAGGGCUGCUUCUCACCGACACCUACAAUGGUUUUUCUUCUCUGACCAGUUUCGGUUCUGGGCAGUGAGGCUGAGUCUCUGAAUAACACCGUGUCUUCUAACCCUUGAGCAAGACCCCUCCUGUGCACCUGGAGUGCCCAGCCAGGGCCACAGCCGGUACUGUGUCCCACUGCAGCCUGGGGCAGCUUCCGUGGGCAGUUGUUAGUGUUUCUGGCUUUGCUAGAGCCCCUCUUGGUCACUGCUUUCUUGCUGGGAAUACAUGCACAUAGCAAGUAAAAACAGAGCUGGAUUCAGAUCAGACACAUUGGUUCCACGGCUUACCUCUGCCGCAUAUUGGCUGUGAGAUGUUUGCUACAUCACUAAUCUCAACUAUAAAAUAAUAAUAAUAAAAAAACUCUAUCAGUCAGGGUUCUACAAAGAAAUAGAACCAAUAGGAGAUGGAGACUUAUUGUAAAGCAUUGGCUGACACAAUUUAAGGAAUUUAAAAUAAUUAAAUUGGAAGUUCCCUUCAUGGCUCAGUGGUUAACAAGCCUGACUAGGAUCCAUGAGGAUGCGGGUUUUAUCCCUGGCCUCGCUCAGUGGGUUAAGGAUCCGGUGUUGCCGUGAGCUGUGUUGUAGGUCACAGACGUGGCUUGUACCCCAUGUUGCUAUGGCUGUGGCGUAGGCUGGCGGCUACAGCUCUGAUUCGACCCCUAGCCUGGGAACUUUCAUAUGCUGCAGGUGUGGCCCUAAAAAGCAAAAAUAAAUAAAUAACUAAAAUAAUUAAGUUGGCUGACAAUUUAUUUCAAGGAAUUGGCUGAGACAGUUGUGGGAGCUGGAAAGUCCCAAGUCUCUGGGGCAGGUCAGCCGGCUGAAAACAGUAGGCAGGAGUUGACCUUGCAGACUUGGGACAGAAUUUCUUCUUUGGGAAACCUCAGUGUUUACUCUUAAGACCUUCACCUGAUUGGGGGAGGCCCACCCACCUCCUCAAGGGUACUCUUCACUUAACGUCAACUGGUGGUAGGUAUUAACUACAUCUACAAAAUACCUUCACAGCAAUACCUAGGUUAGGGCUUGUUUAAAUAACUGAGUUUGACAGCCUAGUCUGACUGACCAUAAAACUGACCGUCACACUCUCUCACAGAAGAGUUACAAGGAUUAAGGAAAAUAAUGUAUGCAAAUUGCCAAGCAUAGGAUCUGGUCCAGAGCAAGUACUUAUUCAUUACUGAUAUUAUUAUUACUGUUAUUUUUUUUAUUUUCCACUUAUUUGUGGUCUGCCGCUGAUUCCACAAAGCUUUGGGCCUUGUUCCAACGUAUUUGCUGCUCUGAUACAUCACAUCUCCUAAGAGGAGGAUGUAGGCUGUGGGAACUCGGAGGCAGGCAUGGACCAAUCGGUAAGCUCCUGGAGGAGGAGCACAUGUCUGGUUUACACACAGCUCAGAAUAAAUGCUCCGUAUAUAUCGAGAUAAAUGCGCAAAGGAAGAUGAUGUCCUAAUAAGCGUGGCUGCCCAAUGCGUAUAAUAUGAGCCUCAUAGGCAAUUUAACGUUUUCCAGGAACCAUGUGUAAAGAAGACACAGACACUAAAAUCCAAAAUGUGAUCAAUAUGAAAAUUAUUAGACAUUUUAUAUUCAUUUUUCCCCACAUUAAGCCUUUGAAAUUCAGCAUGUGUCUUAUACUUACGGCACUUCUCCACCUGGACUGGCCAUAUCUCAAGUGCUCUAUAGCCACAUGUGGCUGGCAGCUACUGUACUGAGUGGCAUAAGCUUAGAGGAAUACUUCUCCAAGUUCAGUUACUGAAUAAUUGCAUCCUAACCCCUGGGGCUGAUUUAUGGAGCAGGUGGCAGGUUGAUAAUGGGUCCUGCUCUAGAACAAACUCAGUAGGAUUCACCAAAUGAAUCCACCUGUUUGCAGACUGUUUAUGAUCCGUCCUCACCAAAAGAAGAGCAGAAAUUGAGAGCAGACAUUCAGAAAAUUCUAUAACAAUUUGAUAGCGUAAUUUUACAUUCAUUGAAUCUAAUAAUAAAAAAUUGGGGGAAUUGAAUUACAUAUUAUUUAAAAUUUAAUUUUCCUAUAAAUUCAUAUGCCUUAUAUUUACAAAAGUGUUUGUCUAGGAUGAAGUGAAAAGAAAUAAAAACGGGCCCUUCACCAGAGAGAUUCUGAGAAUCAGGGUCUCCGGGGUAGGGAUGGGGGAUUUGUGUUUUUAACAAGCCCCCUAAGGAUUCCUAGACACAAUGAAACUUGAACCUUCUGGAAUUCCAAAAACUCCAAGAAGUGUGUACCUCCUUGUAUUUUUAUUUUUGUGUUUCCCUCCAAAUUGACAUGUCCAGAGGCAGAACCUCGAGACUGGGUGGGCCUUUAUAACAGGGCAGCUCUGCUGACUUCAAAGACACUGACCCAGUGCCAGUGGGGAGCCCUGUCCCGCCCUGAGGUCCACAUCAGCCAGAACGCCAGGCCCGCACAGUCCUGCUUCUUCUUGAGACCCUUUUGUGAAUCCUCUAGCAUCCUGGGAUUUUGAAGGUUUUCUCUGAUCCUCCACACAGAGAAUACGACUUUUCAAUCUCCAUCUCUUGGAGCAGACAGGCAAUCUGUUUAAAAAAAAAAAAA